ACAGGUCAUUCUCUAUGGCGAAGACUACUUGCGCGCGCAGCCGGGAUAUAAAAGUCGGAAGACGGAAAUCGAGGAACUCAUAGCGUACUCAAAAAAGCAAGGUGGACAAAGCCAGACUGAAAACGGAAGUGACAUCAUUGCCGAGCGGAAGUUCAAUCGACUUGUGCGCAAGAUCUAUAAUUAUGGGACGAAACUGUUGGUGUACGAGGAAAAACGACAAAAACUCUAUCAUUCGCCCUGGAAGCUGACUGGACCCUUCCCGUCGGUUUUCGAGGUAGGAAAGCUCGUCAACGGAAGAGUCGGAACCGGUAGAUUACGGAAGCGCUUAACCGCUCUCGACAUCGAUGGCUGUGCCUUUGGCGUGGAGGUAGCCGCCAUUAUGAACUGUAGCUCAGAA
Molecule: long non-coding RNA, 397 nt
Organism: Mya arenaria
Lineage: Eukaryota; Metazoa; Mollusca; Bivalvia; Myida; Myidae
Exons: 3
Source: RefSeq, a predicted model, not a curated record